This 348-nucleotide unclassified non-coding RNA is filed under the name soil metagenome. Its description in RNAcentral is "partial contains 5.8S ribosomal RNA, internal transcribed spacer 2, and large subunit ribosomal RNA". The stretch from base 1 to 120 matches the Rfam family "5.8S ribosomal RNA", at positions 35 to 154 of the family's 154-position model. The record is from RNAcentral.
GAUGAAGAACGUAGUGAAAUGCGAUAAGUAAUGUGAAUUGCAGAAUUCAGUGAAUCAUCGAAUCUUUGAACGCACAUUGCGCCCGCCAGUAUUCUGGCGGGCAUGCCUGUCUGAGCGUCAUUUCAACCCUCAUGCCCCUAGGGCGUGGUGUUGGGGAUCGGCCAAAGCCCGCGAGGGACGGCCGGCCCCUAAAUCUAGUGGCGAACCCGUCGUGGCCUCCUCUGCGAAGUAGUGAUAUUCCGCAUCGGAGAGCGAUGAGCCCCUGCCGUUAAACCCCCAACUUUCCAAGGUUGACCUCAGAUCAGGUAGGAAUACCCGCUGAACUUAAGCAUAUCAAUAAGCGGAGGA